RNAcentral lists this ribosomal RNA (459 nucleotides) under uncultured bacterium. Its description in RNAcentral is "partial 16S ribosomal RNA". It matches the Rfam family "Bacterial small subunit ribosomal RNA", at positions 28 to 523 of the family's 1533-position model. The record is from RNAcentral.
GAUGAACGCUGGCGGCGUGCCUAAUACAUGCAAGUCGAGCGGAAAGGCCUCUUCGGAGGUACUCGAGCGGCGGACGGCUGAGUAACGCGUAGGAACGUACCCCAAACUGAGGGAUAACUGCUCGAAAGAGUAGCUAAUACCGCAUGUGCUCUACGGAGUAAAGCUUCGGCGGUUUGGGAACGGCCUGCGUACGAUUAGCUUGUUGGUAAGGUAAUGGCUUACCAAGGCGACGAUCUUUAGCUGGUCUGAGCGGAUGAUCAGCCAGACUGGGACUGAGACACGGCCCAGACUCCUACGGGAGGCAGCAGUAGGGAAUUUUCCACAAUGGGCGAAAGCCUGAUGGAGCAACGCCGCGUGCAGGAUGAAUGCCUUCGGGUUGUAAACUGCUUUUAUAAGUGAAGAAUAUGACGGUAACUUAUGAAUAAGGAUCGGCUAACUCCGUGCCAGCCGCCGCGGUAA